CCUACGGGUGGCAGCAGUGAGGAAUAUUGGUCAAUGGGCGGGAGCCUGAACCAGCCAAGCCGCGUGAAGGAAGAAGGCGCCAGGCGUCGUAAACUUCUUUUGUCGGGGAACAAAGGGUGCCACGCGUGGCGUUGUGAGUGUACCCGAAGCAAAAGCAUCGGCUAACUCCGUGCCAGCGGCCGCGGUACUACGGAGGAUGCGAGCGUUAUCCGGAUUUAUUGGGUUUAAAGGGUGCGUAGGCGGUCCGGAAAGUCAGCGGGAAAUGCCCGUGGCUCAACCCCGGCGGGCCGUUGAAACUGUCAGACUAGAGACGGCGAGAGGGGGGCGGAAUGCGCGGUGUAGCGGUGAAAGGAAUAGAUAUCGCGCAGAAGUCCGAUUGCGAAGGCAGCGUCCCGGCGCCGGACUGACGCUGAGGUACGAAAGCGUGGGUAUCGAACAGGAUUAGAUACCCGAGUAGUC
RNAcentral lists this ribosomal RNA (459 nucleotides) under uncultured bacterium. Its description in RNAcentral is "partial 16S ribosomal RNA". It matches the Rfam family "Bacterial small subunit ribosomal RNA", at positions 338 to 795 of the family's 1533-position model. The record is from RNAcentral.